CGCGUAGGCGGCUUGGUCAGUCGGAUGUGAAAGCCCCGGGCUUAACCUGGGAAUUGCAUUCGAUACUGCCAAACUAGAGUGUAGUAGAGGGAAGCGGAAUUCCAGGUGUAGCGGUGAAAUGCGUAGAUAUCUGGAGGAACAUCAGUGGCGAAGGCGGCUUCCUGGACUAACACUGACGCUGAGGUGCGAAAGCGUGGGGAGCAAACA
Molecule: ribosomal RNA, 207 nt
Filed under: uncultured bacterium
Lineage: Bacteria
Description: partial 16S ribosomal RNA
Rfam family: Bacterial small subunit ribosomal RNA
Source: RNAcentral